This is a non-coding RNA of Ciona savignyi (Pacific transparent sea squirt), 47 nucleotides long. Lineage: Eukaryota; Metazoa; Chordata; Ascidiacea; Phlebobranchia; Cionidae. The record is from Rfam.
CAAACGGCCCUUUUAAGGGCCACCCAAUUAAGAAAAAGAGAUCGAAU